AGGGCGUAUACGAGGCCGUGCUCGGGGCCGAGGUCGCCGAGACACUGGGUUACGAACCGGGGCGGGAGAUCGUCGUCUCCCACGGUCUG
RNAcentral lists this transfer RNA (89 nucleotides) under Saccharospirillum salsuginis. Its description in RNAcentral is "tRNA-Leu". Lineage: Bacteria; Pseudomonadati; Pseudomonadota; Gammaproteobacteria; Oceanospirillales; Saccharospirillaceae. The record is from RNAcentral.